UACGUAGGAGACGAGCGUUGUCCGGAAUCACUGGGCGUAAAGGGCGCGUAGGCGGCUCAUGAAGGCUGUGGUGAAAGUCCGGGGCUCAACCUCGGAUCGGCCGUGGCGACUCGUGGGCUGGAGCACUGUAGAGGCGGGUGGAAUUCCGGGUGUAGCGGUGGAAUGCGUAGAGAUCCGGAAGAACACCAGUGGCGAAGGCGGCCCGCUGGGCAGUGGCUGACGCUGAGGCGCGACAGCGUGGGGAGCAAACAGG
This 253-nucleotide ribosomal RNA is filed under the name uncultured bacterium. RNAcentral describes it as "partial 16S ribosomal RNA". It matches the Rfam family "Bacterial small subunit ribosomal RNA", at positions 524 to 776 of the family's 1533-position model. The record is from RNAcentral.